UCCCAUUAUGGAACGAGCUGAGGCGAGACUAGUCCUUGGAGAUGUACCAAGCUGUCCGUAAGCUAGGUCCAUCGGGUGAUUCCAGGCCUCAAAGUCGAACCCGAGACCAAUAGGGAGCAAACCCACAGUCCAAGCCAACUCAGCUACCCAUCCGAACUCUGGGCUUAAUAUGUUGCUUAAUGUAUGUGGUCACAUUAAGAAUACACUUCUAGACUUAAAAAUGUUAGACUCAAAAUUGAUUCUAGACUUAAUAUGUUGCUUGAUGUGUGUGGUUUAAGGAUAGCCGGUUAAUGCCCUGCAACGAAGAAAUAUACGGAAUAAAUUAAUGACAUAGAAAUUGAGGAUGCAUCUUGACGUUGCACAGAUUACAGGCGGAGUUAAAAAUAACCAAUAAUCAGAGCAUAUCUCAUUACUGCCGGGAAUGCUCUGGUAGACAUGUAUGCAAAAUGUGGAAGCAUAGACAACGCACGUGAACUGUUUGACAGAAUACCCCAAAGAAAUAUGGUCUAAUGGAACGCCAUAAUUGCUGGAUGUAAGCAAAGUGAUUUGUUGAAAGGGCUUCAGAAACUUUCAGUCGGAUGCAAUUGGCAGGACUCCGCACCUUUGCCAGCAAGCUCCCUGCUUUGCCAAAACGGAGGCUUUGGAACAAGGUAUGCGAUCGAUCAAAGGAUAAAGGACAGAGGGACUUUGUCAUAUGUAUAAAGCUUAGUGGAAGGGGGUUUUCGUCAGAUAUAAUAUUUGGAAAUGCUCUAGUAGAGGCACGUAAACUGUUUGACAAAAUGUCUCAAAGAAAUAUGGUUUCAGAGAAUGCAAUGUUUGUCUUGCAAGGAUGCUCUCAAAAUGUUUGAAUUAAUGAAGCACUUUGGAACAUAUCCUGAAACUAUAAACUUUGCUUGUGUUAUAUGUGCAUGCAGCCUUAGUGAAUGUGAGCUGUACAUGCUUCAAUCACAUGAGUAACCCUUACUGCAUUGCACCUCCAUUUCAUCAUUAUGUGUGUGCUUGACCUACUUGCUCGUGCUGGCUAUAAUGAGGAUACCCUUUAAAUUUAUCAUUCAAGAUGCCAGUUGAACCAGGGAUGGAUGUGUGGAUCUGUUUUCUUGCUGCCUGCAGAUCACAUAUGGAUAUAGGCUAUGAGUAUUUACAGCAAUGCUAUUUUUCUAUUUGGAUUUAAAAAAAAGAUGUGACCAAUGUUCUCUUAAACGUCUACGCAGAAAAGUGGGCAUGUCGUGUGAGCAAAUGGAGAUAGAUGACAUUCACAGUCAGUAAAUCAAUGUAAAGUUGGAGAAAUUUGGCUUGGGAGAUGCAGGCAGAAAGUAUUUUGAGAUGUAAGUAGGGGGUGUGGUAAGGAGGAAAAAAAAUAGUUUCUCUGCCACCAUUGUGAAUUGCUCUUGGUUUUCUAGAAAUACCCCCAGAACAACUGUUAAUCUUGUUAACAACCUUUGAGUAUGUGUCAAUUGUCACAUUGUAAUGAAAUUUAUCGUCAAGAUCAUUGCAAUUCCACUUUUAAUUAUUAGUUUAGUUAAUUUCAUGAAGAGGAAAUGAAUUCAUUUGGAUA
Long non-coding RNA from Cryptomeria japonica (Japanese cedar), 1555 nucleotides. RefSeq lists it as uncharacterized. The record is from RefSeq and is a predicted model, not a curated record. The transcript is spliced from 2 exons. Lineage: Eukaryota; Viridiplantae; Streptophyta; Pinopsida; Cupressales; Cupressaceae.